Molecule: transfer RNA, 88 nt
Filed under: Cryomorphaceae bacterium
Lineage: Bacteria; Pseudomonadati; Bacteroidota; Flavobacteriia; Flavobacteriales; Cryomorphaceae
Also listed under: 2 other names
Description: tRNA-Ser(tga)
Rfam family: tRNA
About the family: Transfer RNA (tRNA) molecules are approximately 80 nucleotides in length. Their secondary structure includes four short double-helical elements and three loops (D, anti-codon, and T loops).
Source: RNAcentral
GGAGAGAUGGCAGAGUGGUCGAAUGCACUGGUCUUGAAAACCAGCGUACCGAGAGGUACCGGGGGUUCGAAUCCCUCUCUCUCCGCCA